CAAUAGCGUAUAUUAAAGUUGUUGCGGUUAAAAAGCUCGUAGUUGGAUUUCUGUCGAGUCCGGGUGGUCCGUACUUACGUGCGUGUAUCACUUGGUCUUGGCAUCCUCUUGGCUAACGGCGCUGUGCUUCAUUGUAUAGGCCGGGAUUCAAGACUUUUACUUUGAGGAAAUUAGAGUGUUCACGGCAAGCUAUCGCAUGAAUACAUUAGCAUGGAAUAAUAAUAUAGGGCGUAUGCUUUAUUUUGUUGGUUUCUAAGGUUUACGCAAUGAUUAAUAGGGAUAAUUGGGGGCAUUCGUAUUAACGCGUCAGAGGUGGAAUUCUUAGAUUGCGUUACGACGAACUACUGCGAAAGCAUUUGCCAAGGAUGUUUUCAUUGAUCAAGAACGAAAGUAUGGGGAUCGAAGACGAUCAGAUACCAU
RNAcentral lists this ribosomal RNA (420 nucleotides) under uncultured eukaryote. Its description in RNAcentral is "bacterial SSU rRNA". It matches the Rfam family "Eukaryotic small subunit ribosomal RNA", at positions 592 to 1018 of the family's 1831-position model. The record is from RNAcentral.